RNAcentral lists this ribosomal RNA (1523 nucleotides) under Neophema chrysogaster (Orange-bellied parrot). Its description in RNAcentral is "large ribosomal RNA subunit RNA". It matches the Rfam family "Bacterial large subunit ribosomal RNA", at positions 428 to 2824 of the family's 2925-position model. The record is from RNAcentral. Lineage: Eukaryota; Metazoa; Chordata; Aves; Psittaciformes; Psittacidae.
AAACUAAAACAUUACCCCCAACUGAGUAUAGGCGAUAGAAAAGUAUCAGCCCCGGACGCCAUAGAAAAAGUACCGCAAGGGAAAGAUGAAAUAGCAAUGACAAGCCAAGCGCCAAACAGCAAAGACAAACCCUUGUACCUCUUGCAUCAUGAUCUAGCAAGAACCGACCAGGCAAAAAGAACUUAAGCCUGCCACCCCGAAACCCAAGCGAGCUACUCACAAGCAGUCAACCAAGAACCAACCCGUCUCUGUUGCAAAAGAGUGGGAUGACUUGUUAGUAGAGGUGAAAAGCCUACCGAGCUGGGUGAUAGCUGGUUGCCUGCAAAACGAAUUUAAGUUCCCCCUUAGCCCUCCCACCAUGAACCAAUCAACCAAAUCCCUAUGUAAGCGCUAAGAGAUAUUCAAAGGAGGUACAGCCCCUUUGACACAGGAUACAACCUCCACCAGCGGAUAAUACACAACCACCACACCCGUGGGCCCUAAAGCAGCCACCCCAAAAGAAUGCGUCAAAGCUCAAAGCCCUAAAAAAUCCAAAAACAACAAGACUCCCUACACCCUCAGCAGGCCAACCUAUAACUAUAGAUGAACACAUGCUAAAACGAGUAACCAGGACACCACACCCUCCCCUAAGCGCCAACCUACAUACCAUUAACAGCACUACCACAAUAAACUAAACCCCCAUCUUAACCCAACCAUUGAUCACACCCUGUUAACCCAACUCAGGAGCGCACAACUAGGAAGAUUAAAAUCUGCAAAAGGAACUCGGCAAGCCCAAGGCCCGACUGUUUACCAAAAACAUAGCCUUCAGCCAAACAAGUAUUGAAGGUGAUGCCUGCCCAGUGACCCUACGUUCAACGGCCGCGGUAUCCUAACCGUGCAAAGGUAGCGCAAUCAAUUGUCCCAUAAAUCGAGACCUGUAUGAAUGGCUAAACGAGGUCUUAACUGUCUCCUGCAGACAAUCAGUGAAACUGAUCUCCCUGUGCAAAAGCAGGGAUAAGCACAUAAGACGAGAAGACCCUGUGGAACUUCAAAAUCAAUAGCCACCACACACCCCAAUACCAACCUACAAGGCCCACUUAACCCCGAACAACUGGCUAGUAUUUUUAGGUUGGGGCGACCCUGGAGAAAAACAAAUCCUCCAGUAGCACGGGCCAAAUCCCCAACUAAGAGCAACCCCUCAACGUGCCAACAGCACACAGACCCAAUAAAAUUGACCAACGAACCAAGCUACCCCAGGGAUAACAGCGCAAUCUCCCCCAAGAGCCCCUAUCGACGAGGAGGUUUACGACCUCGAUGUUGGAUCAGGACAUCCUAGUGGUGCAACCGCUACUAAGGGUUCGUUUGUUCAACGAUUAACAGUCCUACGUGAUCUGAGUUCAGACCGGAGCAAUCCAGGUCGGUUUCUAUCUAUGACCCAACCUUCCCUAGUACGAAAGGACCGGGAAAGUAGGGCCAAUGCCCCCAGCACGCCCUCCCCCUAAGUGAUGCCCCCAACUAAAUCACCAAAGGAUCCCCCACCUACA